AUGCAGCUCUCCAGUCUGCUCUGGGUGUUCCUGGCCUUCACCUUCUCUGGAUCUGGUGUGGCCCAGAAAGUUACUCAAGACCAGUCAGAUGUAUCCAGCCAAGUGGGACAGUCAGUCACCCUGAAUUGUCGGUAUGAAACAAGUUGGGGUGCUUACUACCUUUUUUGGUACAAGCAACUUCCCAGUGGACAGAUGACUUACCUUAUUCAACAGUAUUCAGGAUACAGCAAUGCAAGGAACGGCCGCUACUCUGUAAACUUCCAGAAAGCAGAUAAAUCCAUCAGCCUCAUCAUUUCAUCCUUACAGCUGGAAGAUUCUGCAAAGUACUUCUGUGCUCUCCCAGUUUCAGGAGAGCAGAAGGGUUUCUAUGUAGAGGAUCAUACUGACAAGCUCACCUUUGGAAAAGGGACCCGCCUCAUCGUGGAACCAAAAAGUCAACCUGCUGCCAGCCCAUCUGUUUUUGUCAUGAAAAAUGGGACAAACGUCGCUUGUUUGGUGAAGGAGUUCUACCCCAAAGAUAUAACUAUAAGUCUGCAAUCAUCCAAGAAAAUAAUAGAAUAUGAGCCUGCUAUUGUCGUCUCACCUGGGGGGAGGUACAGUGCUGUCAAGCUUGGUCAGUACGAAGAUCCCGAUUCAGUGACAUGUUCAGUUGAACACAACAAAAAAACCUGGCACUCUUCUGACUUUGAACCAAAGAAAGAUAUUUCAGAAACAACUCCAAAACCGAAGGAAUCUGAAAACAGCACAGAAAUUCAAGUUUCAACGACCUGCUAUGAGCCCCAAGUGCAACCUGGGAAGGUGAACAUGAUGUCCCUCUCGGUGCUGGGGCUCCGAAUGCUGUUUGCCAAGAGUGUCGCCGUCAAUUUUCUCUUUACUGCCAAGUUAUUUUUCUUUUAAGUUUUCCUUCAUUUGCAGGCUGACUGGCAUGAGAAGGCUGCAUUCCCUGAAAGAAACCAAAAGCCUACAGAGAAGCUAUCUCCUAGGCUUUCAACUUUUUGGUGAUUCAAGUUGACCCAUCCCAGCCUUGCUUAAAUGGCUGCUCCCCAAACUGGUUUUCCUUUAAAGGCAACAAACCCAGCUUAUCCUUCAGCCUGAUGAAAGACAGAAGUCCUGGGGAGUGGGGGCUUAUAGCCCCAACUGUUUUAUAUGCUGCUUUAUAAAGGGAUAAGAGAUAUGAAGGUAUA
Non-coding RNA from Budorcas taxicolor (takin), 1184 nucleotides. Lineage: Eukaryota; Metazoa; Chordata; Mammalia; Artiodactyla; Bovidae. The record is from the annotation of a RefSeq genome assembly.